RNAcentral lists this ribosomal RNA (488 nucleotides) under uncultured bacterium. RNAcentral's name for it is "bacterial SSU rRNA". It matches the Rfam family "Bacterial small subunit ribosomal RNA", at positions 29 to 507 of the family's 1533-position model. The record is from RNAcentral.
AACGAACGCUUGCGGCGUGCCUAAGAAAUGCAAGUCGAGCGAGGAUUCACGCUGACCGAAGCUUCGGCAGAGGUCUUGUGAAGCCUAGCGGCGAACGGUCGCGUAACACGUAAGCAACCUGCCCUGAAGUGUGGGAUAGCCCUCCGAAAGGAGGAUUAAUACCGCAUGUGGAUACGAUGUCGCAUGGCAACGUAUCUAAAGCAGCAAUGCGCUUCAGGAUGGGCUUGCGGCCUAUCAGCUAGUUGGUGGGGUAACGGCCUACCAAGGCGACGACGGGUAGCUGGUCUGAGAGGAUGGUCAGCCGGAUUGGGACUGAGACACGGCCCAGACUCCUACGGGGGCAGCAAUUAGGAAUCUUGCGCAAUGGGGGAAACCCUGACGCAGCGACGCCGCGUGAGCGAUGAAAGUCUUUCGGGAUGUAAAGCUCUGUCCUGUGGGGAAGAAGAAUGUGACGGUACCCACCAGAGAAAGACCCGGCUAACUACGUG